CUGUCCCAUAACCAUUGUUGAGCCACAUUAGCGACUGGCCGGGAGCACGUGCCAUCAACAAAACCAAUUUUGUUUUUAGCAGAUAACGCAACAAUCAUUUUUCUCCUCCAACCCCCAUAACCACUGCCCGAGAAGGGAGUUGGGACAAGAGAGACCCCAGGAACAUCAGAGGAGUAGACAAAAAGGGGGCUGGUAGAGUCUACCGAGGAGGUACCAGCAUUCGUAUUAGAAGCCAUGAUUAAUGAACCAGCUUGAAAGGAAAACAGUUUCGGCAAGCAAAAUAUAACGGAACCAGAUACUCACAUACAAAGCAUACAAUACUCAAAAUAAGGACAGAGUUACCCUCCUUCUUCGCGACCGGAGAAGAUCGGCCUUCAAUCAAAAGAGAAAACCCUAGGUCCGACGCCGGAAACCGUAGGUUCUGAAACUCAUUGGAAUAAGGUCACAGACGCCGGAAAGUUACCCAAAACGUCCAUCAAGAGAAGAGAAAGUCAUCGGAUAACACAAAAACUCUAGGUCCGAAAGUCGGAAAAACCCUAGAAUUUGAAGAACUCGUCGGAAUAAAACCAGGGAAGCCGGAAAAUUACCCAAAACACCCACUGAUAGAAGAUCGGAACCUUGAAUAACAGGAAAGCUCCGAUUAUCCGCUCAACAUUCGUUGAAACAUCUCAAAACAGUAUCUCUCACCGAUAACCAUAAGAAAAACUUCAGCAAAAGCUUCGAACAUGAUCGAUAACACGCAACCGAGAAGGAUCCGAAUAUGAUCCGGCUCUGAUACCACAAAAACAU
Molecule: long non-coding RNA, 789 nt
Filed under: Nicotiana benthamiana
Lineage: Eukaryota; Viridiplantae; Streptophyta; Magnoliopsida; Solanales; Solanaceae
Description: long non-coding RNA (NBEN_LNC016782)
Source: RNAcentral